Molecule: long non-coding RNA, 1479 nt
Organism: Phyllostomus discolor (pale spear-nosed bat)
Lineage: Eukaryota; Metazoa; Chordata; Mammalia; Chiroptera; Phyllostomidae
Exons: 2
Source: RefSeq, a predicted model, not a curated record
UAAAAGGAAAAAAAAGAAACUUGCCCAAAGCCACACAGCCAAUGAGCGGAGUGACUAGGACCAGGACCCAGGCAUUCUGAUGCCAGAGCUCAAACUCUAAAUCACUCUGCUCUACUACUGCUCAGUCAAGUUUGCAUUUUUAUGUCCAAUAAAAUAAACAGAGUUACCUGGCUAUUGUCCUCACAGUAGACUGCAAAAAACAAAUUGGAGGGAGAAAAAGAUUUGUUAUCAAAGAUAAUCAGCAAACAGAAGUUACUCUAAAUCUUUCAAACCAAGGGACUAGUUACUGAGUGAUGGAUGGCUGAGCGGCCACAGAGGGAACAGGGAGGCAGCCCACAGACUAGCAACCUUGGAAAGCUAGUCUGCCUAGGCAGGAGGGAUAAGGGAAGAAAGUGAUGUUAUCAGAGCAAGAGACCGGGGCCAAGAAACAAGAGUAGAACAACGGCACAGGCUGCUAUGGAGAAAGGAGAAGUCACGUGGGAGCAGAAGCUGUGGAAGAAACACACAGCUGCUCCUAAAGAUGCCAAAAAAGCAGGGAGAGGCACGGAGAGAUGCCCUUGGGUCUCCCCUGGGUCACCAAAAGGCAAGGAAGCCUGGGAAAUAUAGUUCCCUACAACACAGAUCUAAGAACAAGUCUGCAAAUGAGCACCACAAAGAUGCAGCUGCUCAACUGACAAUACAGAAACACUCCAAAAAUAAAAAACAAGAUUAAAAAGGCAGAUUUGUCAAAACUUAGUUUAAUGUCAAGUAGUCCUACACACUCCAGCAGUCCCUAAACAAACAAUAACAACAAUAACAAUGCCUUUUACUUACAUGGUUCUUCACAAGGCACAUUGCUGUAGUACGGCUCAAUUCAAUAACUGAUGUCUACAAAGACGAGGCUAAGAAGUUUUCACUAUUCUCUGUUUAGUUAACCAGGGAGAUAUAUGUGUUCUAGAAAUAUCCCCACCAUAAAAGUAAUGAGUUUAUCUGAUAGAGUUUAGUAGAAUUUUAUAAUCAAAAUUUUACUCACGUAGAAUAAAUUGUUCCCCAUCAAUGUUGUCUAAAUAAGGUGUUAAUGUAGCUGUGAUUCUGGAAGGCCAGAUCUGCCGUCACAAUUUCACCUGCUGUUUGACAAAGUAGGAGCCAGAACACAAAUUCUUGCCCUCUUCUCAGAAGCCCUUGUAGCAAAAAUUCUUGGAGGUAGGUAGGGAGGGGACAGAUGAAAGAAAAACUCAAAAAACAAAAAUGUAUUACCAGGAAUCUCCAAUCAGUGCUGGCUUCUGCAGCACACAUACUAAAACUGGAAAAACACAAAGAUUAGCCUGGCCCCUGUGCAAGGAUGACAUGUAAAUUCGAGAUGCCUUCCAUUAUUUUGCUUUCCUUUUCUAAUGUCCAUAGGUACAUAACAAAGGCUCUGAUGAGCGGAAUCACUCAAUUUACCCAACUGAGGGCACUUCCUGCUUCAACCCCAUCCCCAACUCUUCCUCACAAAAAAGG